CCCUAUCACGCAUUUCGACUUGGAUUGAAAUUUUCUCCGUUUGGCGACUUUGGUAUCAUGCGUUCCGUUCCCGUUCAGUUCAACUUCGAAAUUUACAAUUCUGCCUAUCAUGCAUUUCGAUCGUAGCUCCGUUUUGCUAAGUUGCAAUUUUGUUGGCGGAGAACUUUUUGUGUUUUUAUUUUGCUGAGAAAAUUUUAUUAUUUGCGUGAUUUUUUUUUUAAUUUUCUAAAAAUGUCAAAAACAACAACACCAGAGCAAUAUGGAAAAUUGGCAGAUAUGAUGGAGAGUAAGCUAGAUAUAGCCAACGGUUUCCACCAGCGUCCUAAGGAAGAUGUACAGGCUUUUUGGAAAGAGCCCGUCAUUCAUCUGGAAGGGAUCGCACAUAUCUCGUAAUCUUCUCCUUUCAAUUCUCACCCCAGCAUUCUGAGAUGCGCUGCUCUCCUCCUCAACCAGUAAUAUCGCCGCGGAUAAAGAUUCCAUAGUUACGUUU
This is a long non-coding RNA of Bactrocera dorsalis (oriental fruit fly), 490 nucleotides long. RefSeq lists it as uncharacterized. NCBI's taxonomy places the organism in Eukaryota, Metazoa, Arthropoda, Insecta, Diptera, Tephritidae. The record is from RefSeq and is a predicted model, not a curated record. The transcript is spliced from 3 exons.